GGGCUUAUUAAUAGUAGAGCUUUAUCCUCAUUACUUAAGGAUAAACUGGAUUAAUGAUUUCUAAAGUGCUCAUAUGACUUGGGUAGGGAGCAUAUUAACAAUAGAGCUUUAUUCUCAUCACUUAAGGAUGCAUUAAUGAUUUCAAAAAUACACACUUUGUUAAACUCAUCAAAAUGAUCAUCAAGGAUAAGCCUUAUAACAUCC
RNAcentral lists this long non-coding RNA (204 nucleotides) under Citrus sinensis (sweet orange). Its description in RNAcentral is "long non-coding RNA (CSIN_LNC004275)". Lineage: Eukaryota; Viridiplantae; Streptophyta; Magnoliopsida; Sapindales; Rutaceae. The record is from RNAcentral.